UACGUAGGUCCCGAACGUUGUCCGGAAUUAUUGGGCGUAAAGCGCGCGCAGGCGGUUCCUUAAGUCUGAUGUGAAAGCCCACGGCUCAACCGUGGAGGGUCAUUGGAAACUGGGGAACUUGAGUGCAGAAGAGGAAAGCGGAAUUCCACGUGUAGCGGUGAAAUGCGUAGAGAUGUGGAGGAACACCAGUGGCGAAGGCGGCUUUCUGGUCUGUAACUGACGCUGAGGUGCGAAAGCGUGGGGAGCAAACAGG
RNAcentral lists this unclassified non-coding RNA (253 nucleotides) under uncultured Bacillaceae bacterium. Its description in RNAcentral is "contains 16S-23S intergenic spacer region". It matches the Rfam family "Bacterial small subunit ribosomal RNA", at positions 524 to 776 of the family's 1533-position model. The record is from RNAcentral. Lineage: Bacteria; Bacillati; Bacillota; Bacilli; Caryophanales; Bacillaceae.